This 450-nucleotide ribosomal RNA is filed under the name uncultured bacterium. Its description in RNAcentral is "bacterial SSU rRNA". It matches the Rfam family "Bacterial small subunit ribosomal RNA", at positions 29 to 524 of the family's 1533-position model. The record is from RNAcentral.
AACGAACGCUGGCGGCAUGCCUAACACAUGCAAGUCGAACGAGACCUUCGGGUCUAGUGGCGCACGGGUGCGUAACGCGUGGGAAUCUACCCUUGGGUUCGGAAUAACUCAGAGAAAUUUGAGCUAAUACCGGAUGAUGUCGCAAGACCAAAGAUUUAUCGCCCAAGGACGAGCCCGCGUAGGAUUAGCUUGUUGGUGAGGUAAAAAGCUCACCAAGGCGACGAUCCUUAGCUGGUCUGAGAGGAUGAUCAGCCACACUGGGACUGAGACACGGCCCAGACUCCUACGGGAGGCAGCAGUGGGGAAUAUUGGACAAUGGGCGAAAGCCUGAUCCAGCAAUGCCGCGUGAGUGAUGAAGGCCUUAGGGUGUAAAGCUCUUUUACCCGGGAUGAUAAUGACAGUACCGGGAGAAUAAGCCCCGGCUAACUCCGUGCCAGCAGCCGCGGUAAU